GCCUUUGUGGCUUAGUCGUAGAGCAACUGAUUCGUAAUCAGUAGAUCGGGGGUUCAACUCCCCCCAAAGGCUCCA
This 75-nucleotide transfer RNA is filed under the name Promethearchaeota archaeon. RNAcentral's name for it is "Candidatus Lokiarchaeota archaeon (permafrost metagenome) tRNA-Thr". It matches the Rfam family "tRNA". From Rfam's summary of the family: Transfer RNA (tRNA) molecules are approximately 80 nucleotides in length. Their secondary structure includes four short double-helical elements and three loops (D, anti-codon, and T loops). Further hydrogen bonds mediate the characteristic L-shaped molecular structure. tRNAs have two regions of fundamental functional importance: the anti-codon, which is responsible for specific mRNA codon recognition, and the 3' end, to which the tRNAs corresponding amino acid is attached (by aminoacyl-tRNA synthetases). tRNAs cope with the degeneracy of the genetic code in two manners: having more than one tRNA (with a specific anti-codon) for a particular amino acid; and 'wobble' base-pairing, i.e. permitting non-standard base-pairing at the 3rd anti-codon position. The record is from RNAcentral. Lineage: Archaea; Promethearchaeati; Promethearchaeota.